Molecule: long non-coding RNA, 392 nt
Filed under: Ananas comosus (pineapple)
Lineage: Eukaryota; Viridiplantae; Streptophyta; Magnoliopsida; Poales; Bromeliaceae
Description: long non-coding RNA (ACOM_LNC004994)
Source: RNAcentral
GGUAGAAGUAGUGAUUUUUACUGUUCUACUGGGGCCUGCCUCGCCUUGUGUAGUGUUGUUCGAUGAAGAACUGGUUUAGUCGCUACAAGAAAAUUAAUAUUUUAAAAAAUAUAUAUAUUUUUAUAUUUAACGAUGUUUAAAAGUGUUUAUAUAUAGUCUAACGUCACAUUUGAAAGCGUCAGUUAAGAUGUCAGCAAGUGAAGAGUUCUCACGUAUAUACCGACGCUUAUGCCAAGCGUCGGUAAAAUAUAUUUCAGGAUUUUUUAAAAUUCUAACACUUUAAAGCGUCGAAAAAUAAAAAAUAAUAGUAAAAUUUAUUAUUUAAUAAAUUGGUUUGAUAUAAUAAAGUGUUCAUACGAUGACGCUUUUUGAAGGGUCGUUAUUUGCUGUUU